UUUUGCGCAAUGGGGGAAACCCUGACGCAGCAACGCCGCGUGCGGGACGAAGGCCCUCGGGUNGUAAACCGCUUUCAGCAGGGAANNCCNNNANGGUACCUGCAGAAGAAGCUCCGGCUAGCUACGUGCCNNNAGCCGCGGUAAUACGUAGGGGGCGAGCGUUAUCCGGAUGCAUUGGGCGUAAAGCGCGCGUAGGCGGCCGCCUAAGCGGAACCUCUAACCCCGGGGCUCAACCUCGGGCCGGGUUCCGGACUGGGCGGCUCGAGUGCGGUAGAGGAGAGCGGAAUUCCCGGUGUAGCGGUGGAAUGCGCAGAUAUCGGGAAGAACACCGAUGGCGAAGGCAGCUCUCUGGGCCGUCACUGACGCUGAGGCGCGAAAGCUGGGGGAGCGAACAGG
RNAcentral lists this ribosomal RNA (396 nucleotides) under uncultured bacterium. Its description in RNAcentral is "partial 16S ribosomal RNA". It matches the Rfam family "Bacterial small subunit ribosomal RNA", at positions 362 to 776 of the family's 1533-position model. The record is from RNAcentral.